RNAcentral lists this small nuclear RNA (107 nucleotides) under Octodon degus (degu). Lineage: Eukaryota; Metazoa; Chordata; Mammalia; Rodentia; Octodontidae. The record is from RNAcentral.
GUGCUCGCUUCGGCAGCACAUAUACUAAAAUUGGAACGGUACAGAGAAGAUUAGCAUGGCCCCUGCACAAGGAUGACAUGCAAAUUCAUGAAGCAUUCCAUAUUUUU